Long non-coding RNA from Melospiza melodia melodia, 427 nucleotides. RefSeq lists it as uncharacterized. The transcript has 3 exons. The record is from RefSeq and is a predicted model, not a curated record. NCBI's taxonomy places the organism in Eukaryota, Metazoa, Chordata, Aves, Passeriformes, Passerellidae.
GGUACAUCUGCCCCUCCUGUUAUGCUACUCCCAAUUCCUGUGGAAAAAUGAGACGAUUUUUGCUUUCUUCCUUGGAGAAUCCUUUAACCACGAGGAGGUUAUGGAGCAGGCAUUCAUCCAAACCAAGCCAUUUCAGGUUCAGGCCAGUUGGAGUAGCUGAAUACAGACACAGAGAUGCUACUUAAGGACAAGAUGAAGUAAUGACCCCACAACCAAGGGCACCACUGCAGCUUCAGGCCCAGAAAGUGCCAACAGCAGGGAAUGGAGGAGAGCAAACUGGGAGGAUGGGACUGCAGAACCUGGAGCUGGAAUUGGACAAUUAACCCCAAUAUGGAAAUGGACCAAAACUUAUAAAAGUGCGAAAACUCGUGACCCAGGGUCCAUCUUGGGUGUAGCCACAGCCAGGCUCUUGUGCUGCCCAAGGUGU